GCGGGCGUAGCUCAGGGGUAGAGCACGACCUUGCCAAGGUCGGGGUCGAGGGUUCGAAUCCCUCCGCCCGCUCCA
Molecule: transfer RNA, 75 nt
Filed under: Alphaproteobacteria bacterium
Lineage: Bacteria; Pseudomonadati; Pseudomonadota; Alphaproteobacteria
Description: tRNA-Gly
Rfam family: tRNA
About the family: Transfer RNA (tRNA) molecules are approximately 80 nucleotides in length. Their secondary structure includes four short double-helical elements and three loops (D, anti-codon, and T loops).
Source: RNAcentral